GAGUUCCUUGCGCGCGAGGUUGGCCCGACGCGCUUCGGACGCGUCAGCCUGCCUGGCACGUUCGGCGCGGGCGAAGAUCC
Molecule: transfer RNA, 80 nt
Filed under: Nocardia camponoti
Lineage: Bacteria; Bacillati; Actinomycetota; Actinomycetes; Mycobacteriales; Nocardiaceae
Description: tRNA-Arg
Source: RNAcentral